UACAGGGGGUGCAAACGUUGCUCGGAAUUAUUGGGCGUAAAGCGCGCGUAGGCGGCUACUUAAGUCGGAUGUGAAAGCCCUUGGCUCAACUGAGGAAGUGCACCCGAAACUGAGUGGCUUGAGUACUAAAGAGGGUCGCGGAAUUCCCGGUGUAGAGGUGAAAUUCGUAGAUAUCUGGAGGAACACCGGUGGCGAAGGCGGCAUCCUGGACCAACACUGACACUGAGGAGCGAAAGCCAGGGGAGCAAACGGG
RNAcentral lists this ribosomal RNA (253 nucleotides) under uncultured bacterium. RNAcentral's name for it is "partial 16S ribosomal RNA". It matches the Rfam family "Bacterial small subunit ribosomal RNA", at positions 524 to 776 of the family's 1533-position model. The record is from RNAcentral.